GGGCCCGCACAAGCGGUGGAGCAUGUGGUUCAAUUCGACGCAACGCGAAGAACCUUACCGGGGUUUGAACUGUACGGGACAGCUCUAGAGAUAGAGUCUUCCUUCGGGACCCGUAUAGAGGUGCUGCAUGGCUGUCGUCAGCUCGUGUCGUGAGAUGUUGGGUUAAGUCCCGCAACGAGCGCAACCCUUGCCUCCUGUUGCUAACGAGUAAAGUCGAGCACUCUGGAGAGACUGCCGGUGAUAAACCGGAGGAAGGUGGGGAUGACGUCAAGUCCUCAUGGCCUUUAUGCCCCGGGCUACACACGUGCUACAAUGGCUGGUACAAAGGGUCGCAAAACCGCGAGGUGGAGCUAAUCCCAAAAAGCCAGUCCCAGUUCGGAUUGCAGUCUGCAACUCGACUGCAUGAAGUUGGAAUCGCUAGUAAUCGCGGAUCAGCACGCCGCGGUGAAUACGUUCCCGGGCCUU
RNAcentral lists this ribosomal RNA (465 nucleotides) under uncultured bacterium. RNAcentral describes it as "bacterial SSU rRNA". It matches the Rfam family "Bacterial small subunit ribosomal RNA", at positions 917 to 1382 of the family's 1533-position model. The record is from RNAcentral.